Molecule: long non-coding RNA, 1383 nt
Filed under: Gallus gallus (chicken)
Lineage: Eukaryota; Metazoa; Chordata; Aves; Galliformes; Phasianidae
Description: long non-coding RNA NONGGAT001130
Source: RNAcentral
AAGGAAAACAUUGGCAGCAUGAAUUAUUGCCAAUACCAACUGUUGAGAAAAAGACAAACAGUGAGGCAGAUUUCAACAAACUAGAGAUUAAAAGCGUGCCUCUGGAUUGUGUUAAUGGCCUCCUGCUGCUUCAGCUUGCUGUGUAGGGAAGGGCUGGAGCUGUGUGGGAAGGGAUGGACUAGUUGUUACCUUUAAUGGCUUUCUUUAUCUAUCACAAGGAUUGAAAGUGUUGUUUUGAAAAUUGGAAGCCGAUGGUCUUACUCAGUCCUCUGUCUUCAGGACCUGCAGUAAAAGAUUUAAAGAUAUUUAACCACUGGAUGAAAUGUGCCUGGGCACCCCGACAGAGACCAGAAAUGCACAAUAAAGAACAAUGCUUCUGUCGUGAAGUUAUUUACAGUGUAUAAACUUGGAGCUCAAUGAGGUAAAUGGGGAAGCUGGAAUUCACAAACAUCACUGCAAAUCCCAUCAACAGUUAAAGACAACAGGUCUGAAACGCUCCUCAGUGUGUAUGAAACUGACUGUGCAAACACUAAACAGUCACUUUGGGUAAAAUGACAUUUGCAACUUAGAGGCAAGGAUAGUUACAGAAAUUAUUCCAUUUGAGCAAAUUCACCUUUACCAGAAAGACCCUACUGAGUCAUUUGAAACUUCAUAUCUGACAAGGGAGUGGGAAAACCAGCUAAGAGCACCCUGAAGCAACCAGGAUCUCUUGGUCAAGUGCAAGAGCUGGGUUGUAACAACAAAAGGGGCUGCUACGUGGCAACUGAUGAGAAGCAGGAGCGUGUUUGGCUUACAGCAGCACUAAAGUAAACAGGAAAUUGCACACAGAAUCUGACCCUCCCUUCAGCCUGUUUUUUGAAGAAUUAGCAGAUUCUUGUCUCUGAGCAUAAGGCAGUUUUUUCAGCCUUCCAUUCAUCUUGGUGGCUCUUUGCUGCAGGCUCCGUACCCUUUCAAGUCCCCGUGAAAAUCAGGAUACCAGAAUUACUUGCUGGUGUCUAUGUUGACAACUGAGCUAAAUUUAAUUUUCUGCUCCUCUGAUUAUAUACCCAGGAUCUAGGCUGCUGGCACUGCCCCAGGUAACUGCUGCUCCUUGUCUGGUGUCACCUCUCAAGCUGCCAUAAGGGAGUUGUUGUUCCUGAAGAUCCUGUUGCCUACCCCAUGACGAUGGCCUGGCUUUUGUCUUGUUGUGGUUCUUUGAUGUGCAACCUCAUUUGGCUAUGGCAUCACAGCACAUUUUGGCUGUAACCCCACACCCGAUGGAGGGCACACCCAGAACUGCUCAUGGAUUCUCCAGUCUGGAGAUGAGGGUUGAAGCACAGGUUCACUGAGUGAUGGAAGUUGUUCUGCAUCACUGUCCCUUCCUCAUCAUUGUGAACCUCUUCA